RNAcentral lists this ribosomal RNA (253 nucleotides) under uncultured bacterium. RNAcentral describes it as "partial 16S ribosomal RNA". It matches the Rfam family "Bacterial small subunit ribosomal RNA", at positions 524 to 776 of the family's 1533-position model. The record is from RNAcentral.
GACAGAGGGUGCAAACGUUGUUCGGAAUUACUGGGCGUAAAGCGCGUGUAGGCUGCUCUGCAAGUCGGGUGUGAAAGCCCUGGGCUCAACCUAGGAAGUGCACUCGAAACUGCAAAGCUGGAGUCCUGGAGAGGAAGGCGGAAUUCUCGGUGUAGAGGUGAAAUUCGUAGAUAUCGAGAGGAACACCGGUGGCGAAGGCGGCAUCCUGGACCGACAUUGACGCUGAAAAGCGAAAGCUAGGGGAGCAAACGGG